This 429-nucleotide ribosomal RNA is filed under the name uncultured archaeon. RNAcentral's name for it is "bacterial SSU rRNA". It matches the Rfam family "Archaeal small subunit ribosomal RNA", at positions 474 to 903 of the family's 1478-position model. The record is from RNAcentral.
UACCAGCUCUCCGAGUGGUAGGGAUGAUUAUUGGGCUUAAAGCGUCCGUAGCCGGCUUAGCAAGUCUCCUGUUAAAUUCAGCGACCUAAUCGUUGAGCCGCGGGAGAUACUACUAGGCUAGGAGGCGGGAGAGGUCAACGGUACUUCCGGGGUAGGGGUGAAAUCCUAUAAUCCCGGGAGGACCACCAGUGGCGAAGGCUGUUGACUAGAACGCGCUCGACGGUGAGGGACGAAAGCUGGGGGAGCGAACCGGAUUAGAUACCCGGGUAGUCCCAGCUGUAAACGAUGCGAGCUAGGUGUUGGGGUGGCCACGUGCCACUUCAGUGCCGCAGGGAAGCCAUUAAGCUCGCCGCCUGGGGAGUACGGCCGCAAGGCUGAAACUUAAAGGAAUUGGCGGGGGAGCACCACAAGGCGUGAAGCUUGCGGUUC